AUACGGAGGGGGCUAGCGUUGUUCGGAAUUACUGGGCGUAAAGGGCGCGUAGGCGGACUAUCAAGUCAGGGGUGAAAGGCCUGGGCUCAACCCGGGAACUGCCUUUGAAACUGAAAGUCUAGAGUCCGAGAGAGGAUAGCGGAAUUCCCAGUGUAGAGGUGAAAUUCGUAGAUAUUGGGAAGAACACCAGUGGCGAAGGCGGCUAUCUGGCUCGGUACUGACGCUGAGGCGCGAAAGCGUGGGGAGCAAACAGGAUUAGAAACCCCAGUAGUCC
This 274-nucleotide ribosomal RNA is filed under the name uncultured bacterium. Its description in RNAcentral is "partial 16S ribosomal RNA". It matches the Rfam family "Bacterial small subunit ribosomal RNA", at positions 523 to 796 of the family's 1533-position model. The record is from RNAcentral.